GCUAGUGUAGCUUAAAUAAAGCAUAACACUGAAGAUGUUAAGAUGAACCCUAAAAAUGUUCCACAGGCA
RNAcentral lists this transfer RNA (69 nucleotides) under Duringlanis perugiae. RNAcentral describes it as "tRNA-Phe". It matches the Rfam family "tRNA". Rfam says of the family: Transfer RNA (tRNA) molecules are approximately 80 nucleotides in length. Their secondary structure includes four short double-helical elements and three loops (D, anti-codon, and T loops). Lineage: Eukaryota; Metazoa; Chordata; Actinopteri; Siluriformes; Auchenipteridae. The record is from RNAcentral.